CAACAUUCCCGUCACACCGGUGUGACGGUACUCCUUUAAGGGUUAAAAUUGGUUGAUUUCAUUGGAAGAGUAAAAGACAUGCUGACUAAUCCAUGUGCCAUCUGACGUGAUGGAACUGGGUCUCAUGAUGGCACAUCAUCACCCCAUAUCACCGCAGUGAUAUAUAUCUGAAACAUUUAUCCAUGCCCUCAUCACCUCCAGGAUGGACUACGGCAACAGCAUUAUCUACGGACUACCUAACAAAACUUCAAUAUGUCCAGAACUCAGCCGCCCACCUUCUCACCUCCACCCAUAGUCGGGGACUACAUCACCCCUGUCCUCCACAACCUCCCAGUCAA
Alosa alosa (allis shad) is the source of this 338-nucleotide long non-coding RNA. RefSeq lists it as uncharacterized. The transcript has 3 exons. NCBI's taxonomy places the organism in Eukaryota, Metazoa, Chordata, Actinopteri, Clupeiformes, Clupeidae. The record is from RefSeq and is a predicted model, not a curated record.